UACAGAGGGUGCAAGCGUUAAUCGGAAUUACUGGGCGUAAAGCGUGUGUAGGUGGUUAGAUAAGUUAGAUGUGAAAUCCCCGGGCUUAACCUGGGCACUGCGUUUAAAACUGUUUAACUAGAGUGCUGUAGAGGGUAGUGGAAUUUCCAGUGUAGCGGUGAAAUGCGUAGAUAUUGGAAGGAACACCAGUGGCGAAGGCGACUACCUGGACAGACACUGACACUGAGACACGAAAGCGUGGGGAGCAAACAGG
Molecule: ribosomal RNA, 253 nt
Filed under: uncultured bacterium
Lineage: Bacteria
Description: partial 16S ribosomal RNA
Rfam family: Bacterial small subunit ribosomal RNA
Source: RNAcentral